GUGCAGCAGGCGCGAAAACUUCACACUGUGCGGAAGCACGAUGAGGGAAUCCCAAGUGCUUGCACGUAAGUGUAAGCUGUUUCUCUGUCUAAAACGCAGAGAGAGUAAGGGCUGGGUAAGACGGGUGCCAGCCGCCGCGGUAAUACCUGCAGCUCAAGUGGUGACCGUUAUUAUUGGGGCCUAAAACGUCCGUAGCCGGUUUAAUAAAUGCCUGGGUAAAUUGUGUAGCUUAACUAUACGAAUUCCGGGUAGACUGUUAAACUUGAGACCGGGAGAAGUUAGAGGUACUCCUGGGGUAGGGGUGAAAUUCUGUAAUCCUAGGGGGACCACCAGUGGCGAAGGCGUCUAACUAGAACGGGUCUGACGGUGAGGGACGAAGCCCUGGGGC
This 388-nucleotide ribosomal RNA is filed under the name uncultured microorganism. RNAcentral describes it as "bacterial SSU rRNA". It matches the Rfam family "Archaeal small subunit ribosomal RNA", at positions 330 to 718 of the family's 1478-position model. The record is from RNAcentral.